GAUGAAGAACGUAGCGAAAUGCGAUAAGUAGUGUGAAUUGCAGAAUUCAGUGAAUCACCGAAUCUUUGAACGCACAUUGCGCCCUUUGGUAUUCCAAAGGGCAUGCCUGUUCGAGCGUCAUUUGUACCCUCAAGCUUUGCUUGGUGUUGGGCGUCUUGUCUCUAGCUUUGCUGGAGACUCGCCUUAAAGUAAUUGGCAGCCGGCCUACUGGUUUCGGAGCGCAGCACAAGUCGCACUCUCUAUCAGCAAAGGUCUAGCAUCCACUAAGCCUUUUUUUCAACUUUUGACCUCGGAUCAGGUAGGGAUACCCGCUGAACUUAAGCAUAUCAAUAAGCGGAGGA
Molecule: unclassified non-coding RNA, 341 nt
Filed under: soil metagenome
Description: partial contains 5.8S ribosomal RNA, internal transcribed spacer 2, and large subunit ribosomal RNA
Rfam family: 5.8S ribosomal RNA (bases 1-120)
Source: RNAcentral